This 353-nucleotide unclassified non-coding RNA is filed under the name Hevea brasiliensis (rubber tree). The record is from RNAcentral. Lineage: Eukaryota; Viridiplantae; Streptophyta; Magnoliopsida; Malpighiales; Euphorbiaceae.
AAGGCUUAGUUGAGUUGAGUUAAUCUUCAAAGCCAUUAUUGAGAAUCUUACAUGAGAUGAGUAAAAUGCAGGAAAUAAGGAUUUGCAAUAUACUCAGAGAAGUUUCAAAACAUUAAAUUUAACAGCACAGCAUUCAAAACAAAUCCAGGAAGCAAGGCACAAAAUAAUACAGUCAAAAUAACUUUUACAAACAAAUCGAAGCAGUAAAGCUGGAAUAGAGCACAACAUCAAAGCUUGAAUAUUUUCAACAGCAAACAGAAGAGGACAAAAGCGCCAACCUUCAUGACAAUACAAUCCUCCAAUUCUCCAAAUUUGCUCAUAUAUUCCCUCAAACCUUCUGUAUCCACCUCCCA